This 1075-nucleotide ribosomal RNA is filed under the name Xylariaceae sp. RNAcentral describes it as "partial large subunit ribosomal RNA". It matches the Rfam family "Eukaryotic large subunit ribosomal RNA", at positions 40 to 1138 of the family's 3401-position model. Lineage: Eukaryota; Fungi; Ascomycota; Sordariomycetes; Xylariales; Xylariaceae. The record is from RNAcentral.
AUAUCAAUAAGCGGAGGAAAAGAAACCAACAGGGAUUGCCCUAGUAACGGCGAGUGAAGCGGCAACAGCUCAAAUUUGAAAUCUGGCCUUCGGGUCCGAGUUGUAAUUUGCAGAGGAUGCUUUUGGCGCGGUGCCUUCCGAGUUCCCUGGAACGGGACGCCUUAGAGGGUGAGAGCCCCGUACGGUUGGACACCAAGCCUCUGUAAAGCUCCUUCGACGAGUCGAGUAGUUUGGGAAUGCUGCUCUAAAUGGGAGGUAAAUUUCUUCUAAAGCUAAAUAUUGGCCAGAGACCGAUAGCGCACAAGUAGAGUGAUCGAAAGAUGAAAAGCACUUUGAAAAGAGGGUUAAACAGCACGUGAAAUUGUUGAAAGGGAAGCGUUUGCGACCAGACCUUCUCCUGGCGGAUCAUCCGGUGGUUUCCACCGGUGCACUUCGCCAGGUCGAGGCCAGCAUCGGUCUUUGUAGGGGGAUAAAAGCUCAGGGAACGUAGCUCCUCCGGGAGUGUUAUAGCCCUCCGCAUAAUACCUUUACGGGGACCGAGGACCGCGCCUUCGGGCAAGGAUGCUGGCGUAAUGGUUGUCAACGACCCGUCUUGAAACACGGACCAAGGAGUCGAACAUUUGUGCGAGUGUUUGGGUGUUAAACCCUCACGCGUAAUGAAAGUGAACGGAGGUGAGAGCCCUUACGGGUGCAUCAUCGACCGAUCCUGAUGUCUUCGGAUGGAUUUGAGUAAGAGCAUAACUGUUCGGACCCGAAAGAUGGUGAACUAUGCGUGGAUAGGGUGAAGCCAGAGGAAACUCUGGUGGAGGCUCGCAGCGGUUCUGACGUGCAAAUCGAUCGUCAAAUCUGCGCAUGGGGGCGAAAGACUUAUCGAACCAUCUAGUAGCUGGUUACCGCCGAAGUUUCCCUCAGGAUAGCAGUGUUGUUCUUCAGUUUUAUGAGGUAAAGCGAAUGAUUAGGGACUCGGGGGCGCUUUUUUGCCUUCAUCCAUUCUCAAACUUUAAAUAUGUAAGAAGCCCUUGUUACUUAAUUGAACGUGGGCAUUCGAAUGUACCAACACUAGUGGGCCAUUUUU